UAGCCAUGAUGUGGAAAAGCGUUUAGAAAACCCUUGAAUUUUUCUCAAAAUUGGAAGGAGGUUUCUUCCUCUUUCUGUGAAAAAUUCAUGAUCACCCUUCUAAGGGU
This is a small nucleolar RNA of Magnolia sinica, 107 nucleotides long. Lineage: Eukaryota; Viridiplantae; Streptophyta; Magnoliopsida; Magnoliales; Magnoliaceae. The record is from RefSeq and is a predicted model, not a curated record.